AUUGAACGCUGGCGGAAUGCUUUACACAUGCAAGUCGAACGGCAGCACGGGGCAACCUGGUGGCGAGUGGCGAACGGGUGAGUAAUACAUCGGAACGUGCCCAAUCGUGGGGGAUAACGUAGCGAAAGCUACGCUAAUACCGCAUACGAUCUACGGAUGAAAGCGGGGGAUCGCAAGACCUCGCGCGAAUGGAGCGGCCGAUGGCAGAUUAGGUAGUUGGUGGGGUAAAGGCUCACCAAGCCUGCGAUCUGUAGCUGGUCUGAGAGGACGACCAGCCACACUGGAACUGAGACACGGUCCAGACUCCUACGGGAGGCAGCAGUGGGGAAUUUUGGACAAUGGGCGCAAGCCUGAUCCAGCCAUUCCGCGUGCAGGAUGAAGGCCCUCGGGUUGUAAACUGCUUUUGUACGGAACGAAAAGGCUUUCUCUAAUACAGGGGGCUCAUGACGGUACCGUAAGAAUAAGCAACCGGCUAACUACGUGCCAGCAGCCGC
This 494-nucleotide ribosomal RNA is filed under the name uncultured bacterium. RNAcentral describes it as "bacterial SSU rRNA". It matches the Rfam family "Bacterial small subunit ribosomal RNA", at positions 30 to 518 of the family's 1533-position model. The record is from RNAcentral.